AAAACGGCUCUUUUCAGAGCCACAACAAUGUAUUCCACGUAAAAGAGU
Aedes aegypti (yellow fever mosquito) is the source of this 48-nucleotide non-coding RNA. The record is from Rfam. Lineage: Eukaryota; Metazoa; Arthropoda; Insecta; Diptera; Culicidae.